GGGGAUAUGGCGAAAUUGGCAGCCGCGCUGGUUUCAAGUCCCAGUGUCGAAAGACGUGAGGGUUCAAAUCCCUCUAUCCCUACCA
This 85-nucleotide transfer RNA is filed under the name Caudoviricetes sp. Its description in RNAcentral is "tRNA-Leu". It matches the Rfam family "tRNA". From Rfam's summary of the family: Transfer RNA (tRNA) molecules are approximately 80 nucleotides in length. Their secondary structure includes four short double-helical elements and three loops (D, anti-codon, and T loops). Further hydrogen bonds mediate the characteristic L-shaped molecular structure. tRNAs have two regions of fundamental functional importance: the anti-codon, which is responsible for specific mRNA codon recognition, and the 3' end, to which the tRNAs corresponding amino acid is attached (by aminoacyl-tRNA synthetases). tRNAs cope with the degeneracy of the genetic code in two manners: having more than one tRNA (with a specific anti-codon) for a particular amino acid; and 'wobble' base-pairing, i.e. permitting non-standard base-pairing at the 3rd anti-codon position. Lineage: Duplodnaviria; Heunggongvirae; Uroviricota; Caudoviricetes. The record is from RNAcentral.